GCUUUGCCAUACCAAGAGGUCGAGGUCGAUCAGCCAUCAUCACACACACGCGCACACACUUCUCCUUCAACGUGCGCGGCCAGUGCGACGAACAUCCACACGCACCUGCUGCGUGUUGCAACCCACUCUUCCUUUGCUGCGACACUCCUGCCCUGCCCGCUGCUGCAAACAUGAGCCUUCAGGUGGACCUUCUCAACAACACGUUUGCUAACCCGUUCAUGAACGCGGCUGGCGUGAUGUGCAGCACGACGGAAGACCUGGUGGCCAUGACCGAGUCGGCGAGUGGCUCUCUAGUCUCGAAGAGUUGCACCCCCGCUCUCCGCGAGGGCAAUCCGACUCCGCGCUACCGGGCCCUACCGCUUGGCAGCAUCAACUCGAUGGGCCUGCCAAACAACGGGUUCGACUUCUAUCUGGCCUACGCCGCGGAGCAGCACGACUACGGCAGGAAGCCGCUCUUUCUGUCCAUGUCCGGCUUGUCAGUGAGGGAGAAUGUUGAGAUGUGCAAGCGCCUUGCCGCUGUCGCGACAGAGAAGGGCGUCAUCCUGGAACUGAAUUUGUCCUGCCCCAACGUUCCCGGCAAGCCGCAGGUGGCCUACGACUUCGACGCGAUGCGGCAGUGCUUGACGGCGGUCUCGGAGGUGUACCCGCACUCGUUUGGUGUGAAGAUGCCGCCGUACUUCGACUUUGCCCACUUUGAUGCCGCCGCCGAGAUCCUCAACGAGUUCCCGCAGGUGCAGUUCAUUACCUGCAUCAACAGCAUCGGUAACGGCCUCGUGAUCGACGCGGAGACGGAGUCCGUGGUGAUCAAGCCGAAGCAGGGCUUCGGCGGCCUCGGUGGUCGCUACGUCCUCCCCACGGCGCUGGCGAACGUCAACGCGUUCUACCGCCGUUGCCCCGGCAAGCUCAUCUUUGGCUGCGGUGGCGUGUACACCGGUGAGGACGCCUUCCUGCACGUGCUCGCUGGUGCCUCCAUGGUGCAGGUCGGCACGGCGCUGCACGAGGAGGGACCCGCCAUCUUCGAGCGACUCACGGCGGAGCUGCUGGAUGUGAUGGCGAAGAAGGGCUACCAGACGCUGGACGAGUUUCGCGGCAAGGUCAGGACACUGGAUUGAACGGCCGAGAGCACGAGCUAAAGGAGAGCAACAGGAAGCACUGAAAAACAGCAGUGCGACCCUUUCACAUGCGUACACGCGAGCGGCGGCGGGAGGGCGGAGGUAGACACCACAAGCUCCGGUGGCGUGCACAUGUGCGGCGCGGGCACUCCAUCUGCCGUGGUGUCCCCCCCUCCUCCUCUCAUGCUCCUUUUCCCUGUGUGCCGCCUUUGCUGCUUGCUUGCACAGCCCAUUUCAGCUUCCAGCUCAUGCGCUCGAUACAGACGCGCGUGAACGGGAUGCGUGGAGCGAGGUAGGGCAUCUCGCAGCACCAGCGACCGCAUCGACGAACAACGAUACCGAAGCAGCGGCACUGCUUCGGAUGUGGGAGAGGGCGAGCGAAGUGGGGAUCGGUCUUGCGCUCGGAUGUUUUGGGCUUCGCCGCAUAUCCGGCUCUUGCUUUGAUUAUCAAGAGCCGGCAUCUCAUUCGGCGGGUGCUUGUGUGCGUGUGUGUGUGUGUGAUCUUCUUUUGAUGCUUCAUGUGAGUAGCGCACCCCCCCCCCCCCCCCCCCCCACCCCAGCCCCGCUCCGUGUGCCAAGACGCCAGGGGAUCUCCCCCGUCCCUGCCGAACGCCGCACCACCUCCGGCGGUGACAGGCUCAGGCACCUGCGACGUGGCGAGGUCAGAGCGACGUAUCGCUACAGAUGUCGGCGGUCAGGUCCUGGGCUGCGUGGCGUCGCGGCGGCAUGCGAAGCGGCUGUUGGUGGGUAGAGCUUGGGGCGGGGGCCGUGCUCCCCGACGACCGAGUCGGCGCACUGCUGUACCGUGCGCGUCUACGGCUGCUUCGCACCAGACGACGGGCGCCCGUGGCAGGAGGAGCCGGAGGUGCGUGUGUGUGUGCGUCAGAGGUGGCGGUGUAGGGUGUGGUGUUUGGCCUCGCCUGGUGCACGGCAGACAGACGAACUCGCCCUGAUAAGCAAGCGCGAGAAAAAGUCGAUCAGCGCCGAAGAGGCGGUAAACGUAAACGAAAAGGCGGGAUGCGGUGCAGGCGAGCAUGCGAUCCACGUACGCUGCGGAGCGGGGCACGACUCACGUGUGUGCGCGUGCGUGCAAGCGUCUUCUGCCUCCCUCUCUCAUAUAUGUUUUCUCCUUUUCUUGCAUGGACGAAACGGAAGGCAUCAGCUGCGCUCAG
Molecule: unclassified non-coding RNA, 2284 nt
Filed under: Leishmania donovani
Lineage: Eukaryota; Euglenozoa; Kinetoplastea; Trypanosomatida; Trypanosomatidae
Description: gene:LdHU3.16.0640(CDS-product:dihydroorotate_deh ydrogenase_(fumarate))
Source: RNAcentral